RNAcentral lists this ribosomal RNA (466 nucleotides) under Vreelandella stevensii. RNAcentral's name for it is "partial 16S ribosomal RNA". It matches the Rfam family "Bacterial small subunit ribosomal RNA", at positions 338 to 795 of the family's 1533-position model. The record is from RNAcentral. Lineage: Bacteria; Pseudomonadati; Pseudomonadota; Gammaproteobacteria; Oceanospirillales; Halomonadaceae.
CCUACGGGGGGCUGCAGUGGGGAAUAUUGGACAAUGGGGGGGAACCCUGAUCCAGCCAUGCCGCGUGUGUGAAGAAGGCCCUCGGGUUGUAAAGAACUUUCAGUGAGGAAGAACGCCUGGUGGUUAAUACCCAUCAGGAAAGACAUCACUCACAGAAGAAGCACCGGCUAACUCCGUGCCAGCAGCCGCGGUAAUACGGAGGGUGCGAGCGUUAAUCGGAAUUACUGGGCGUAAAGCGCGCGUAGGUGGCUUGAUAAGCCGGUUGUGAAAGCCCCGGGCUCAACCUGGGAACGGCAUCCGGAACUGUCAAGCUAGAGUGCAGGAGAGGAAGGUAGAAUUCCCGGUGUAGCGGUGAAAUGCGUAGAGAUCGGGAGGAAUACCAGUGGCGAAGGCGGCCUUCUGGACUGACACUGACACUGAGGUGCGAAAGCGUGGGUAGCAAACAGGAUUAGAUACCCUUGUAGUC